This 430-nucleotide unclassified non-coding RNA is filed under the name soil metagenome. RNAcentral describes it as "partial contains 5.8S ribosomal RNA, internal transcribed spacer 2, and large subunit ribosomal RNA". The stretch from base 1 to 120 matches the Rfam family "5.8S ribosomal RNA", at positions 35 to 154 of the family's 154-position model. The record is from RNAcentral.
GAUGAAGAACGUAGCGAAAUGCGAUACGUAAUGUGAAUUGCAGAAUUCAGUGAAUCAUCGAAUCUUUGAACGCACAUUGCACUCUCUGGUAUUCCGGAGAGUAUGCUUGUUUGAGUAUCUGUAAACAUCUCAAAUCUCUCUUCAAUUGCUUCAAUUGGGUCGAGAGAAUUGGAUUUGAGCGAUCCCGACUCCUUCGUCAGAAAGAGGAGGGUCGCUUGAAAUGCAGGUGCAGCUGGACAUUCUUCUGAGCAAAAAGCAUAUCUAUUUAGUCCCGUCAAACGGAUUAUUACUUUUGCUUCAGCUAAUAUAAAGGUUGAAUGAACUACCAACGCUGAUUGCAGGAAAACAUGUUCGUUUAUUCGGACUUGUAAACUCGAUCUCAAAUCAAGUAAGACUACCCGCUGAACUUAAGCAUAUCAAAAGCGGAGGA